GAUGAACGCUGGCGGCGUGCCUAAUACAUGCAAGUCGAGCGAACGGACGAGAAGCUUGCUUCUCUGAUGUUAGCGGCGGACGGGUGAGUAACACGUGGAUAACCUACUUAUAAGACUGGUAUAAUUUCGGGAAACCGGAGCUAAUACCGGAUAAUAUUUUGAACCGCAUGGUUCAAAAGUGAAAGACGGUCUUGCUGUCACUUAUAGAUGGAUCCGCGCUGCAUUAGCUAGUUGGUAAGGUAACGGCUUACCAAGGCAACGAUGCAUAGCCGACCUGAGAGGGUGAUCGGCCACACUGGAACUGAGACACGGUCCAGACUCCUACGGGAGGCAGCAGUAGGGAAUCUUCCGCAAUGGGCGAAAGCCUGACGGAGCAACGCCGCGUGAGUGAUGAAGGUCUUCGGAUCGUAAAACUCUGUUAUUAGGGAAGAACAUAUGUGUAAGUAACUGUGCACAUCUUGACGGUACCUAAUCAGAAAGCCACGGCUAACUACGUG
This 497-nucleotide ribosomal RNA is filed under the name uncultured bacterium. RNAcentral describes it as "partial 16S ribosomal RNA". It matches the Rfam family "Bacterial small subunit ribosomal RNA", at positions 28 to 507 of the family's 1533-position model. The record is from RNAcentral.